CGGCAGGCCUAAUACAUGCAAGUCGAGCGGGUCCUUCGGGACUAGCGGCGGACGGGUGAGUAACGCGUGGGAACGUGCCCUUUGGUACGGAACAACUGAGGGAAACUUCAGCUAAUACCGUAUGUGCCCUUCGGGGGAAAGAUUUAUCGCCAUUGGAGCGGCCCGCGUUGGAUUAGGUAGUUGGUGAGGUAAAGGCUCACCAAGCCUACGAUCCAUAGCUGGUCUGAGAGGAUGACCAGCCACACUGGGACUGAGACACGGCCCAGACUCCUACGGGAGGCAGCAGUAGGGAAUCUUGCGCAAUGGGCGAAAGCCUGACGCAGCCAUGCCGCGUGAAUGAUGAAGGUCUUAGGAUUGUAAAAUUCUUUCACCGGGGACGAUAAUGACGGUACCCGGAGAAGAAGCCCCGG
Molecule: ribosomal RNA, 410 nt
Filed under: alpha proteobacterium BAL131
Lineage: Bacteria; Pseudomonadati; Pseudomonadota; Alphaproteobacteria
Description: bacterial SSU rRNA
Rfam family: Bacterial small subunit ribosomal RNA
Source: RNAcentral